CAACUAGCCGGGAGGCAAGACUGCCCAACUGUCAGGUAAAUUCACCCGUCCUUUAUCUUCCCACCCAGCUGCAUGUCAGAUCCCUAGAUGUACCCCAACUCCCCUUCCCAAUUCCAUAACUACCUAUACAUAAUUAUAUUUUGCUAUGCAUUAUUUCAUAUAUGGACUACAUGAAUACGGUUUGCAUACCUGAAGUCCAUAUGCUCCCAACGAGAAUGCAAGAGAGCUUGCAUGUGUGUCACCAGCCACUAGCUGGGAGACUGAAGGCUGCCUUCAGCUCCCUAAAUAAAUACUUGGAUUAGUAUUUCAAGUAUUUGAAUUAGUAGUUUCAAUGUUUCCAAAAUAUAAAACCUGGAACUGUUAGGAUGUUUGUCCUACUUUUUCUUCUGCUUGUCUUUUGUCCUUCAAAUGCAUUUCUCAGGCAAAUCAACAGGAAGAAUACAGAAACUAGAUAUGAAAUAUGUCUAAUGUCUAUUCCAGGACAGCUUUAUAAAAAGUGUUUCUAUUUUCUGUCUGCUCAGUGCUCUCAUCAAAACUGAGUUUGAAAGCUGUUGAAAAACCUUAUAAUUGACAUUCAAAAAAGGGUAUCUGUGGUGAGAGUCCUUUACAUGAGAUUAACUGAAGAAAUUUAAAGGCAAGUUUGCACACUCCCUGGACACUGAACUGGAGAGUUUGCUGACAGUUCCUAUUCCAGAUGAAAGCUUUCCAUAUCAGUCACAAGUUGACCUCCCCCGAGGGUGAACUUGCACACAGCAUCAUAGUGUCCGCCAGGACCACACCAUCUCCAUGGAAUACUUCAUCUCCAGUUACCUACCUGGCCUUGUUGGGCCAAGCUUUUGUAGUCUGGCUGUGUCUUUAUGGUCUGCUUAUUGGUGUAUUUUAAUGUAUCUGUUGCUCUUCUGCCAGGGGAAGGCUUCUUUUGAUUAGAGGCUGGCCCAAACACAUUUCCAUGCAUGUCUGAGGAAUAGAUAUCACUGGCAAGGUCACAUCUUGGGGGAGCUAGGCAGCUACAAAGACAAACACAGUAGCAGCCAAAGCCCAAAUAUGGUGUGGGCUCUGAGACAGUUGCACUGCCAGCUGUAUAAGUGGAACCUAGAGUUAGAGAUCGGGGUAUUAUUAAAGAGUCACUAUCCAGGGUCUUUCAAUUGAUAUCUCCUGCUCAGCUAUUCCACAAGUUCCAGCAAUAGAGCUUUUUGUUGUUGUUGUUGUUGUUAGGUUCUUUUCUAAUAUACUAAUGCUGUUUAAUAUAAGCAGUCAACACUAGAGUAAUUUGCAUUAUGUAAGUAAUUGAAUAUAAGUACAAAUGUUCCAAUCCAUCUCAGUGGGAUUCUACAGUCCAACCUCCACUCUCACCCUGGACACUGCUAGACACAACAGAUGUUCAGUAAAUAUUGAUCAUAUGAAUGAAUGAAUGAGCUCUGGACUAAGUAGCCUGGGUUUGAAUCCCAUCUCUAAAACCAAAUCUUGGAAGUUUCUUCUUCAACUAAGAUUCUGUAUCUUCAUAAAGUGAGGAAGAAUAGAUAUUGGGGAAAUUUAGGGAGACUUGGCAUGUUGUGUCCACUCAAUCCUUAUUAUCAAUACUAACUUUGUACCUAACUCACCCUCAAGAAAAAGAUCUGCAGUCCCUUUCAUAGCCUCUAAUUCGCUUGGACACAGAGUAGGGAAGCCUAUUGUUUUAAGGGUUUCAAUUAGAUAGGAAACAGAAAGGCUGGGAGGAAAUAUUUUUAACUUUAAUUUUAUUUUACCUUUUUUUUGGAGAAUGGGUUUGAAUAAAUGGUUCUGUGACCCAGUUCCAUUUCUUUUGAGAUUACUGAAUGUAGGGUAUUUGCUACCUCCAUUGGGAUGGUUUUCUUGAAAAAAAAAAGGAAAAAUUUAAUGAAUUACAAAUGUUUCAGUUUCUGCCCACAUGAAUCCAGCAUGGUCCAGACCGGGCUUCCUCCAUUCCUCACUGUGGUUUACACAGAGAAAUGAUUGAAAGUGUGGUGUAUUCCUGGAAUCCCAGGCACUUGGGAGGCUGAGGCAAGAGGGUCACAAGUUCCAGGCCAGCCUCAGCCAUUUAGCAAGACUGCCCCAAAAUAAAUAAUAAAAAGGGCUGGGGAUAUAGUUUAGUGGCAGAGCCUUGGGUUCAAUCCCUGGUCCUGACAAAAAAGAAAGAGAGAUGAUUAAACAUGUAUGGACUGGAAAAGACUAACUUGUUUGCAGAGUUGCGAAAUUGUGACUGGCUUCCUUCCUGCCCGCAUCCAUUGCUAACUGGAUGGAAGUUAAAGCCUUCAUUCUCCUUCCACUCCUUCCUCACAGAAAAGGAACCAACAUUAGAUUUCAUAUCGCAUUCCAGACAAGGGUUAAGUUCUUCACAAGUAUUAAUCAUUACACCUCACUUGUAAGGUAAGCACAGCUAUCGUUCCCAUUUUUAAAUGAGGAAAUUGAGGUCAGAAUGUGUCAGAUGACUUGUCCAGAGUCAUGCAUCCCGAACACAACUGAGCCCAGUGAUCCAAUGCCCAUCCUACUGCCCUGACUGUAGACACUGCUCUACAGAGGACAGGACCCCUCCCUCACUUUACUUACAGUAGGAGGAGCAAGAGUAUUUUAUUAUCCACAUAGACUCUUUUUUCAAAAGAGAUGUUUGUUUAAUUAGACAAUGAGAAAAUUUGUUACAAAUGUUGAGUGAUUUCUGAUUAGAUGUUCUCUGUAUUUCAUUUUGAAAAAAAUUGCGGGGGGCUGGGGUUGUAGUUCAGUGGUAGAACAAUUGCCUCACACAUGUUAUCUUAAAUAAGAUAAGAAUAUUGUGCCCAUCUACAACUAAAAACAAAUAUUAAAAAAAAAUUUUACUUCCAUCACUUUAUACAUUUACUGUUUAAACAUAUAGAGGUGUUUGGUAUUCAGACCAUCUCUACUUCUUUCAAAUAGUUAUUUUCUUGGAAAAGGAAAAAGAAAAAAAGCUUUCCGAAGAUAAUAUCCACCUUUAUGACAUAGUAAUAGUUUCUAAGUUUACUGUUUACAACAUGAUCUUCAAGACCAGUGGAGGGAAGGGAGCUGCAGGUGGGGAGAGAGAAGGGGAAGAAGAGGUACUGGGGUCCGAAUAAGACAAGAUAUAGUCCAUGCUUGUAUAGUUAUGUUGAAAUGGAUUCUACUGUCAUGUAUAACUAAAAAGAACCAAUAAAUUUUUUCAAAGAAUAAUUUCUUAGGCUGGAAACCAAUAGUGUGUUCCUUAAAGGGUAUUAUACAUAAUAUGCAGUAAGAGUGGAUUUCAUGCAAAUUUGUAAUAGUAAUACUAUUAAGUUGUUUUUAACUCUUGCUUUAUGUAAAAAGUCUGAAAUAAUGAAAAUAAUCUUAAGUCAUCACGAAUGAUAUUAUGUCAGGGUGAAGGGCCAAGUGAACUGUAACCCACACUCAAUGUAUUGCCACACAGGACAGCCAGCCUUGCAGAAAUACUUGCCUUCCUUUAUCAAAGAGAGUAUUGAAUUACACAGGUCUUCAAAAAUGCAUCCUUCUUGCACAAUGUGACUAUGCAUUGCUUGCUAUAAUUUACAUUGCAUAACAUAUUAAUUCCCUAAAAAGGAAUCAGUCCUAACUCAUGCAGAUUUGCAGAUUUACAGAAAGAAACCGUUAGGUCUGUGGGAAAAUCUGUUUGAUUUAGCAAUAACCUGCUGUUUCCCAACCAUCUGACUGACCAUCUGAGAAUGUCAAUCUUGCCAUGAAUUAUUUUCUUCCUUUUAAAAUAUUUUUUAAUUGAUAAAUAAUACCAUCCACUCAGUUCUUUUGACGGUGUUCCAGUUCUCCUGUAUUUACCUACCACACAUUUUUAAAAUAUGUAGGAUAAUAACUUUUACCAUUGGUUCUAACCAGCCCAGAACAUGAAUCUUCUUUUAAACUAAAUGUACAAGUGCAAAGAGCUUAGGAAGUAAAGGUAACUUCAAGCAGACUAGAAAUUUUGUGUAAUUAUGAUUUUGUAUUAAAAUUCAAGAUAGAUAUAUUUGAAUGAUAAUUUCAGUACCAAAGUUUAGAAUGUAUUUAUUUAAUACUAUUUUUUAAUUAUUUCAAUGAUAUUAGCUUUAAAAAGUAUUUAAGUUAGGGCUGGGGUUGUGGCUUAAUGGUUGAGUGCUUGCCUAGCAUGUGUGAGGUACUGGGUUCCAUCCUCAGCACUAUAUAAAAAUAAAUAAAUAAAUAAAGGAUUAAUCCAGUUUUUUUUUAAAAAAAGCAUUUAAAUUAAUAAAUAAUAAUAAUAACAAACCUUGACUAGUUCUCUCAAACAUUUCUGAUAAAGGAGUGAAUUGUAUGGUACUGAAUUUCAUAAUAUAUGGGGAAAUAGUAGUUUUAGAAAAAUAUCCAUCUUAGCUGGAUUUUGUGGUGUGUGCCUAUAAUCCCAACUACUUGCGAUACUGAGACAGGAGGACUGUUUGAGCCCAGGAGUACAAGACCAGCCUGGACAACACAGCAAUAACCCUCAACAAAAAAUAAAGAAGAGAAAAAUCCCCACAAUGCCCUUUCCCCACUGCUAGCCACAUUUUAAAAGAUCUGAACCCAAAUACGUUUUAGGUUUUACUCUAGGCAAUUCAGUUAUUUUACUUCCUCAUUCUUCAAGAUUACUCAAGACCUUGAUGAGCCUGAGUUGUUUAAAUUGGAAGCUCUCAGAGGUGAUGGUCUAUCUCCAUCAUUUACUUAAUAAAUGGAAAAUGUCAUAAAACUCUUCAGUUGUUUUUGCAUCACUGUGCUAAAGCAGGUGGGGGAACUCCUAGUGAACUGGCCUUCCACGGGUCCAUUAAUUAUCCCAUUGAAUCCAGAUUUCACCAGAGAACAAUAGAAUCCUCUCAACUCUUAAGGCGUUGGUCCAUCUUCCAGCACCACUUAAAUCAGUAGAUAGAGCCAGGCCAGCAACUUGGGCUAAGGCGGAAGAAUCACAAGGCUGAUCAGCCUGGGCAACUUAGUGAGACCCUGUCCCAAAUAAAUAAAUAGGGCCAGUAAUGUAGCUUUGUGAUAGAGCACCCCUGGGUUCAAUCCCUGUACUGCAAAAACAAACCAACCAAAUUACUGGAGCAAGCACUUAUAAGAAAUGCAGAAUCUCAGGUCCUACCCAGAUCUACUAAAUCAGAAUCUACCAAAAUUGCUAGGCAAUUUGUAUGCAUACUGAAGUUGAAAAGAAGUGACUUUGGGGCCAGAGUUCACAUGCAAUUUCCCUAACAUGGUUCCCCCCCCUUUCUAUUAUUAUUAUUAUUAUUAUUAUUAUUAUUAUUAUUAUUAUUAUUGCCUUGUUUUGAAAGCCACAGGUGACUUGUCAUGUUUUGAAUUUAAACUAUUUUCUGUGCAAAAUUUCUGAUCAUGUUUUUAAAAUGUAUGUGAAAGCAAUUGAUCUGACCCUCAUGGUCUGCCUGGCCCCUCGGUGCGUUUCCUGCUGACCAGCUUAUUUCUCGUUUUCAGUCCUGACGUAGCUCUCCCUGAGGAGCAGCCACAUUCCAGCUCGCCCUGCGCCCCUCUCCACUGUCUCUCCAAGCCUCCUUACCCCUAGUCUCCAGCUCCUGUGGACGAACAUCUGGGCUGAAGGUUCUGUAGCCACUCGCAGGAUACUGCCCAAGCCCCGGCGGGGAUGUUCUUCCCGGUGGUUCGCUGUACAAUUGGAUUAAUGUUCAUCGUUUUGGAAGAGAGAAAAUUGAGAAGAUUGACAAAAAGCACAGACCCCGUGUGAUCAAACGUUUUAUGGUUCCUCUGAGUCACUGUUAAACUUCUCCAAUCCAAUGGCUACAGUUCAGUUAAAUUUCAAAAAUAAAAAGAAACAUGAAAUAUGCAUCUCAGAUGGCUGGCUUACCUCUAUAGCAUAAGAGAGACCUAAGACGAUGUAAAAUACGUAUAUUGUAAAAUCAUCUUUCCUCAUGCUCCAAAUUCAGCUAUAGAAGUUGAUUCUGAUAUUUUCGGUCAUUGAUAUUUAUUUUGUUACUUUAUUUGCUACAUGAUUUAUGUCUGUAAUAAAUAAUUUCUGUGAGAAGUGAAUUUAAUGCACUUAUUUUCAAAGAAGCAUAAUUUGCUCAGUUACAUAUGAGUUUUAAUUGAGUUUGAAAUCUGGAAUUGGCCAGAUUGUGAUCGUUUUUCUUGCACAAAAUGAUAAAUGUGGUGCAUCAGAAUGUUAACAAUAACUGUAUUUUGCUGCUACACUGAUUAUUUAUGCACUUAUUUUCUAAUCAGUAGCUCAUUAACUGCUGUUUUUUUUUUUAACUAUAUUUCUUCACUGGACAUUAUUAAGUAAAUCUAAGAAAGAGACUAAAUUUUGUUUCAUUGACUUAUUCAAAUUUUGAUGGCAUCUUCAAUUUUUUAAAAUUGCAGUUGAGUAGAUGUACUGGUGCUGCUUCUUUGUACGUGUGUACGUGUGUGAUGACAUUAUAGAAGGCUAAACAACCUGAAAGGAAAAAAAUGAUGUGUUUGUUUAAUGACCAGAACUUUUUUUUUUUAAACUUCUUCCAAAUUCAGGGUCCUACUAUGGGUCUUUCCUGCUAAAAGGUAUCAAGAACAAAGGAGAAAAUAUAUACAUACAUAGAUGUAAGGUAGCUUUGGCUAGUUAAUUUACCAGAAAGUGUUCAGAUUUUGAUUAAAAUUGUAUGUUUUGUUGUUAGGUUUUUUCAUAAUGAAUCUUCCUUGCCAAAAAACAAAUAGAUAAUAAACCUUAGCUCAUUGUCUACUUUUGACAAACACUCAGGUGCCUACAAUCAUUAUAUUAUAUUGAGAUAAGACAUGUUCCUAGUUCAUUUACAGAUUCUGCUAGGUAACUUUUAUGACCUGAUUUAAGGCAGUGGAUUUUCAUAGCAAAAUUUAUUUUGCACAUAAUCUGACAAACAAGGAAACAGCUAAUUGAGCUGAAAGGUCUAACACUAGGGCUCCUUAACUCUCAAGUGCUGCCCACACAACUGCUCCUAGCCCUGAUUCCUUGUCUUUGUCAGGUAGCCUUAACUAAUUUACAACCAUAAGGGUUUCACCUUUUCAUGUAACUUCUCUUCAGAACGGACACAGUCCGGCUGUUAACGUGAAGGACAGAUAACGGUGCAGGACACUAGCAGUGGAGGUUUAGGAGCUUAUCGAGUGGAAGUGGGUGGUACAUUCAUAGAGGGGUCCAUCCAAGGCCCACCUGUCAGUCAUUAAGCACAUUGCAGGAGCCUCUGUCAGUCAUUUGCCUGAUAAGUGGUGGUCAUUAUUACCAAAGCAACCAGGAGGUUUUGUGUUCCUUCUCUAAGUGCUAUUUUCAACAGUCAUUUCUUAUGCAACUUGGGGUAAAUAGUCGAAAUCUUCACCAAAAGAGAGAUUCAGGUUCAAGUACAGAAACAAACAAAACAGAUCUUCAUGAAAGCCCUAGUCACAGUAACCUAACAUGCUCCAUCCUACCAGUGUUCCCUUGCUGUUUCAUCUGCCUGCUACCAGGAUUAGUGAGACAGUGUGGAUUUUAUUAGAGUGAUUCAAGAAUGCUUGCCCCACCUCCACACACACUUUUCCUUUUUCAAGCAUCAUGUGUUUGGACCUGAAAAGUGGCAUAGCUGCUAAGUUGACUUUGUUCAAGAGAAAACAUGCCUUUUUUAACGAGUACCUCAGAACAACGUCUUUCUGUUUGUCUCAUGGAUUUUGUCUGGUGAGAUGGGAACUCAGCAGUCGAUCUUGGUUCUGUGAAACCACACAACUGUCCUGUUACCAGGGCUGCAUUCAUUUUUAUUCCCUUAUUCUAGAUUUAGGUCCCAGGGAAAAGUGAGUCAUAUACAGAACAUUUAUUUCUUCAAAUAUGAAACCUAUCAUAAACUAGUUUUAUUUCAGUUCUUUAUCCAAAUAGAGUGGAAAAUGCUUGUUUUGAAGUCUUAACUACAAAAUACUAAUUUUAGUGCAACUUUGUCAAGAAGAUUUGGAAACUUGGAAAUAAAUUUCUCACUUUCAGCACAAAAUUAAGUGGCAGUAAGAGAGAAUACCAUGUAUUUACAAUGUGGCAUUAUUUGGUAUAGUUUAAAUUGAGCCAUAUUUAUAUUUAUUUAUAGGCAUUUUAAAUGAAUAAAUAUGUGUAGUGUUGGUAAGAAUCAAUACUUGUAAAGAUAAUACAAGGAUCCAAAAGGAAACCGAAAAAGUGAAGAACUAGUGAAAACCCAAAAGGAUGAGCCUUACUAAUUGAAGACAUGUUUGGGGAGGAAAACUAAAUUGAAAAAAUACACUAAAGCUAAGUGUUGUAGACACGAUGAGCAAAAAUGAAAGAAAUCUAGCAGGAGUGUUUAGUAGAAUAACCAAGUAGAAGUUUUGUUUCGAUUUGGUUUUUGGCUUUGAUGAGAUGGGGUCUCUGCUCUUCAGCUGGUCUUGAACUCCUGGACUCCAGUGACCCUCCCACCUCAGCCUCUUGAGUGCUGCCUCUCCUGGCCCAAGUAAUUUUUUCAAAAAGGAAGCACAAUUACAAUGCUGAAAAGAAUAGUGUUAGUAUGCAGAAAUGCUUUCUUACUAGAGAUUUUUUCUUAAUUAAAAAAUAUCAGUAAAAUUAAAAGGAGCAAUAAAUUGCCUUUGGCCUAAGUGCUCAGGGGCAUAAAAACCUUGGAUACUUUCCCAUCAACUCACAUUUUAUCAGAUUCCUUUCAUGUAUACAGUUCUGGAUUCCAAAAAAGGGAGUUUGGGGAACUUUGCAAAAACAGAAAAUUCUUAAACAGUUAAGAAAAGACUUGGAUAUACUUUAUGUAGCUGAAGGAGAGCAUGUACAACAGUGAUCUUCAAGAAAAGAGAAAUUUUAGCAAGUAAUAGACACCUGUGAUAGAUAUCACUAAGGCUAGAAUAAGAAAUUCUUCAGUGUGAAAGAUUUAUAUUAAUUCUAGGAAGAAGGAUUUUACAAUGGAAAAUUCAUCACUGGAAUUGAUAAUUAUAAAAAAGAUAUGUUUUUUUGAAGUUAAUAUUGUUGGAGAUCUAGAGAGCGUUAAGUGGCAAAAUAUCUUAAAAUAUCUUACAAUAAUCCCAUGAUUCUUUUAUUUUUUUAAAAUACAUUAUAAAGUUUUACUGAUAGUCAUAAAGUAUUUAAUCCCUUGAAAUAAGAUGGUAAUCUUACUUUCUCCAAGAUAUUUGGCUUAAAAAUUUUUUGUUGGUAUUAAUUUUCCUCCCAGCUAUAUUUCAUAAUAUCUUUAAAGUUAUCUAGAAUGUAGCAGUUUUGCUACAAAAAGCCUCAAUUUUUGGAAUCUAAAAAACAACUGUCCUCAGGAAUACUUCCGAAAGAAAAGGUAUGUGAUCCCUCAGGGGAAACAAGUACCUCUUGAAUUUUAUCUUUACUUAAAAGGAUCUUCAAGCUUUUCUUAUCCUAUGGAAAUACAACAGAUAAAUCCCACUAUUUUGAAAAGCCUGAAACAGUGGUCCAGCAAAUAGCCAAGAUGUGGGAAUUUCCUGAUUAAAAAAAAAUAAAUUAAAUAAAAUCCUCUCCAGUUCUUAAGUGGAGAUCACAAAACAAGAAUAUGAAGGAAUAAAAUAUAUUUUCUACUGAAAUAAGAAUGUCACAUUUCAUUGUCAUGCUCCAGUCAGCCAAAAGAUAUAAUUGCAUCUCUGAAAAAGUAAUCAGAAGAAGCUAAUAGGUUUUCAGGAAGGAACAGUACUGGUUCAACCCAGGGAUGCCACAAAUACAUUGAUAUUGUAGCUAGACCUAGAUUUGAAAGAAACUCUUGGGGUGAAGUUUCCAUUUUUAAAAGUUCACUCUCUGGUUGUUUGUUGUUGUUGUUGUUUAUAAAUCAGAGUGAUUUAAAAUAAUUAUGUAUUUAAGAUCACAAAAACUUUACAGUAAUAUGUUUUCAAAUAAAGGGAACAUAAUUUUCCAGAAAGCCAUCAAACUGGAGUCAUGAUAGAUAGCAUGAUCAGUGCUGCUACUGAAAAAUCAUUUUUUACCUUAAAAUCAAUUUGUGUUGACAUAUGAGAACAAGCUUACUCCCGAGUGACUUCUUCCAUCCUCUGUAAUAAUGCUCCCAGAUGAUUGUGUCUGAAAUUAUUGUUAUUAUUAUUAUUAUUAUUAUUAUUAUUAUUAUUAUUAUUAUGUGUGGUGCUGGAGAUUGAACCCAGGGCCUCAUGCAUGCAAGGCAAACACUCUACCAACUAAGCUAUAUUCCCAGUCCAAUUUCAUCUUUAUUUUGAUGCCAACAUUACUACCAUAGUCCCUGAUGUAUUGCAUUUGUAGCCUAGCUCUGUUAACACCUGAAAGACUUCAUCUAGACAUCUCUUUCAUCCUAUUACUCAAAGUGUACUUGAAAGAGAUAUUUAGUGUUAAGGUAUGUUCCCCAGCUGAAAAUUUUCUACAAAUGGUGUUCUGUUUAAAAAAAAAGAGGAGAAGAAAUAAACUGCUGCUAGUGUAAGGCAAGGGUGCACAGAGGUACACAGUGUAAGAUGUUUGCAUGAGAUAGUUCACACCGUGUAAGCCUUCCCAUAUCCAUGAUAUGAACACUCUAGAAGUCUUAUUUCUCCUGUGAUUUCCCCAUUAGGAAUGUAAAGAGAUUGCCACCUGUACCUGGUCUCCUUUCCAUAUUGAAAUGCAUGGCUCUACUCUUUAAUGUAGUUUUAUCCCUUUCCUCUGGAGUUAUUUAAAUUUUGCCCUAUUUAAUCUGAAGCCUGGAUAAACUGCAGAUCUAGAUUAAUUCUGAGAUUGGCUUUUAAUUGCUGUACAACAUGUGUUGAGAAUUUAUUUUUAUUUUAACUUUUCUUCCUUUCAGAAUUAUUCUCUGGUAAUCAUGACUCUAAUCAAAACACUGAGAAGUAAACUUGUGUGUUGACUUCUUUUUUUUUUUUAAAUCAAUUUGGUUGACUGGGGUUGUGGCUCAGCAGUAGAGCACUCUCCUAGCACGGGUGAGGCCCUGGGUUCAAUCCCCAACACCACAUAAAAAUAAAUAAAUAAAGAUAUUGUGUCCGACUACCAUUAAAAAAUAAAUAUUAAAAAAAAAAGAAUGCCAUUGGUAUUUUAAAAAAAUCACUUUAAAACGAAGAUCAGAGACCUAUAAAAUAAAAGGAUAUAUCAUCACUAUGUUGAAAAAUCAUUAUUUGGUGACAAUGAAGACACAGAGUGAAUGUUGGAUUCAUAGAUAUGGUUGCAUAGCAAGUCAUAGAGGAAAUGCAUCGUUUUAACAUUGUCACCACAGAAUUUUUAAGCUCAAUGGUUUGACUGUUAGAGUCAACAAUUCUUUGGAAAUCUUUUAUGACAUUUUUGUAAUCUACUCAGUGUUUUUAUUUGCAUGAUUACGUAUAUACCGUGAACCAAACAUGAUUCCUACAUUGUAUUUCUUUCCAGUAUUUACAUUUGUGUCAUGUGUGGCCAACCCUGAUUUGUACACUGUCUGAUUAUUGUUAUAGCGAUUUAGCUUUCUCCUACAUUUAAUUAAAGUUUCUUAUUAUGCCUUUUGGGGUUAAAUGAUGUGAAGUGUUCCACCUAAUAACACCAUAUGGAAACAUGACUAAACGACUGAUCUAAGGAACUUCUGUUUACUAAUUAUUUUUAAAAAUUCAAAUUUCAAAGGAAACAUUCUCAGACACAUGCAUUUGUUCUUAAUUCGAAAAAAAAUCCUUAUGUAUUUAUUAUUGCUCGUCCUUUUUAUUUUUUUAUUGUAGACAAUCUUAAGUGAAUGUCUCAUGGGAGAAUUCCUACACCCUGUGCUUGUUUUCGUGUAAUUGAUCACACACUCAAUGGUUGGGAAAGGCACUCCGAUGCUAAGAAAAUAACCAGAAGCCGAUAUAUCGAUUCUUAUACCUUGGUUUAUGUUAACGACUGAAUAUUGUGUAAUGCAUAAUUUUUUCCAGUAAAUAAACUGGUUACCUUUUGUUCAUUUCAUCAGUGC
Molecule: long non-coding RNA, 11789 nt
Filed under: Marmota monax (woodchuck)
Lineage: Eukaryota; Metazoa; Chordata; Mammalia; Rodentia; Sciuridae
Rfam family: tRNA (bases 10768-10836)
Source: RNAcentral